RNAcentral lists this ribosomal RNA (228 nucleotides) under uncultured bacterium. RNAcentral describes it as "partial 16S ribosomal RNA". It matches the Rfam family "Bacterial small subunit ribosomal RNA", at positions 568 to 795 of the family's 1533-position model. The record is from RNAcentral.
UGCGUAGGCGGAAUAUUAAGUCAGUGGUGAAAUCCUGCGGCUCAACCGUAGAACUGCCAUUGAUACUGAUAUUCUUGAAUAUAGUUGAGGUAGGCGGAAUGUGUAAUGUAGCGGUGAAAUGCUUAGAUAUUACACAGAACACCGAUUGCGAAGGCAGCUUACUAAGCUAUGAUUGACGCUGAGGUACGAAAGCGUGGGGAGCGAACAGGAUUAGAUACCCUGGUAGUC